Molecule: non-coding RNA, 84 nt
Organism: Lentinula aciculospora
Lineage: Eukaryota; Fungi; Basidiomycota; Agaricomycetes; Agaricales; Omphalotaceae
Source: the annotation of a GenBank genome assembly
GCAUUAAUGGGGUAGUGGUAACCUGGGUCGUUGCCAUUAGUAGCAGCUUUCGACCCGCCGGGGGUUCGAUUCCCUCUUAAUGCA